Long non-coding RNA from Bufo bufo (common toad), 124 nucleotides. RefSeq lists it as uncharacterized. The transcript is spliced from 4 exons. Lineage: Eukaryota; Metazoa; Chordata; Amphibia; Anura; Bufonidae. The record is from RefSeq and is a predicted model, not a curated record.
AAGGGGGAGUUGAUCUUGGAGAUGUUUUUGGUCCAGGAGAAUCCAGGGGAAGUGACUGAGAGUGGCUUGGUAAUGGGGUUAUGCUGCACGACCCCUUCUAGUCCAGAACAGGGUAAUUGAAUGU